UCUUACAAUAAUUUAAAGUUUAUUAAAUUAAACAUAAUCUAAAAAACAUUUUUUUAAGUUUAAGUAAUUUUAAAAAAAAUUUUUAAUUUAAGUAUUUAAAAAGAACUUAUAACAAUAAUAGAAAAAAUAAAAUCUUGUUCCUUGUGUAUCAUGAUAUAUAGAAAUAAAAAUAUAUUUAACUAUCUCGAAAAAAAAAGAACUAGAAAUCAUUUUGUUUAAUGUAACACAAUUAAAAAAAAAGAAAUCUAGAAAUAAAAAAUUUACAUUUUUUUUGUUAUCUAGUUAUUUUAGAAAAAAAUUUAAUUUUAGCCACAAUAAAAUUUCUUGUGGACCAAGUUUUUAAGGGAUUAUCUUUACAAACAAAUAUAAUAAAAAAAAAAAAAAAAAAAAGGAACUAAAUUAACCAACAAAUUUAAUAAUUUAAAUUUUUUAAAAUAAAUUUUAUAUAAAUUAAGAAUCUAUAAAAUUUUUAAAACAAAAAUAAGAACAAAAAAUUAUAUAAUUAGUAAAUAUAAAAAAAUAAAUUUAGGAACUCGGCAAAUAAAAUUAUCCGAAUGUUUAACAAAAACAUUGUUUCUAGAAAUUAUUAGAAAUAAAACCUGCUCAGUGAAUAUUUAAACAGCCUUAAAAGCUAAGGUAGCAUAAUAAUUUGUCUUUUAAUUAAAGGCUAGAAUGAACGGUAAAACGAGAUAAAAACUUUCUUAACUUAAAAAAUUAAAUUUUUCAUUUAAGUUAAAAGACUUAAAUAAUUUUAAAGGACGACAAGACCCUAUAGAACUUAAAAUCUUCCUUAAGUAAAAAAAAGAAGAAUUUUUAUUGGGGAAAUAAAAAAAUAAAAAUUUUUUUUAAAAAAAUCGAUUUAAAGAUUUAAAGAUCCUUAAAAAAGAAAUAAGAAAAAGUUACCUUAGGGAUAACAGAGUUAAAUUCUUUGAGAGACCAAAUCGAAAAGAAAUAUUGCUACCUCGAUGUUGAAUUAAGAUAAAUAAUACUAGAAGAAAAGUAUAUAAUUAGGUCUGUUCGACCUUAAAAUCUUACAUGAUUUGAGUUAAGACCGGCGCAAGCCAGGUUGGUUUCUAUCCUUAAAAAGACAACUUUUUUUAGUACGAAAGGACCAAAAAAGAUAAAAUUUUUAAACCAAUUUUUAAUUUUAAUAAAUUAAAGGAUUUGAUUGGUCUAA
Molecule: ribosomal RNA, 1177 nt
Filed under: Stenchaetothrips biformis
Lineage: Eukaryota; Metazoa; Arthropoda; Insecta; Thysanoptera; Thripidae
Description: 16S ribosomal RNA
Source: RNAcentral